This 37058-nucleotide long non-coding RNA is filed under the name Prunus persica (peach). RNAcentral's name for it is "long non-coding RNA (PPER_LNC008205)". The stretch from base 25265 to 25373 matches the Rfam family "Plant small nucleolar RNA R71". Lineage: Eukaryota; Viridiplantae; Streptophyta; Magnoliopsida; Rosales; Rosaceae. The record is from RNAcentral.
CGGAGGGACAAGUUAUUGCUAAUAACCAAACUACUAUUUGUUUCUUGUUCCAAAAGAUGAACCUUUAGGAAGACAAUUAAAUUUGAUAUUUGUAUGUCUCUAUCAGUUCUCUGUUGGGAAUGUAAUUGCUAAAUAUUUAAUGGAUUCUGUUUUGUAAAUUAUGCAAGCUUGCAGAUAUCCGAGUGGAUGGUCAGCCAUGGUGAAUAUGAGGUAUCAGAUUCUGACUAUGCAGUCCGCAUUGUCUUGAUGACAAAAGUUUUUGGUAUUGAUUCUGCGGAACGCUACUUUGAAGGUCUACCUCUUACUGCAAAAACUACUGAGACCUAUACUGCUCUCCUCCACUCGUAUGCUGGGGCUAAAUUGACUGAAAAGGCUGAGGACCUCUAUGAGAAAAUAAAGGAGUCUAAACUUUCCCUUAGUGCCCUUACAUACAAUGAGAUGAUGACUAUGUACAUGUCAGUGGGGCAAGUGGAGAAGGUCUCUUUAGUUGUUGAAGAACUGAAACGGCAGAAGGUUGCACCAGAUAUCUUCACAUACAAUCUCUGGAUAAGUUCAUGUGCUGCAACUCUGAAAAUUGAUCAAGUUCAACAGAUUUUGGAUGAAAUGAGAUAUGAUCUUGGUUUUGGUGAAGACUGGGAGAGAUACAUUAACCUGACAAAUAUCUAUGUUAGCGUUGGGCAUCUUGUGAAUGCAGAGUCCAAUUCUCUAGUAGAAGCUGAGAAAGGAAUCACACAAAGAGAAUGGAUUACAUACGACUUCCUCAUUAUUUUGCAUGCUGGUUUAGGAAAUAAAGACAGAAUUGAUCAGAUAUGGAAAUCCUUGAUAAUGACGAGACAAAAGAUGACAAGUAGAAACUAUAUUUGCAUUCUUUCUUCAUAUCUAAUGCUUGGGCAGCUAAAAGAAGUGGGAGAAGUUAUUGAUCAGUGGAAGCAAUCAACCACUACAGAUUCUGUUGUUUCUGCCUGUAAGAGGCUUUUGAAUGCAUUCACAGACGUUGGAUUCACUGAAAAAGCCCACGACUUCAAGAUGCUUCUGAUUCAGAAGAACUGUGACCCUACAAAUUCAUUAGAGUAGAACCAAAAAUGAGUUUUGUAUGAGAUAAUGGGACGUGUAUAGGCCAAUUUUGUGAUGUCUGGACCAUUUGGAAGAGGAACUAAUUAAAAAGUUCUUGCGGAUUUUCCUUAUACCAAAUGACUGAAUAAAACGACAGUAUGAAACCGUCAUUGAGUUGGUACAUGUGCUUCUUGCUUUCCAUGUUUAAGUCUUGAAGUAUAUUGUCUUCAUGAAAUUGAAAGUUUGUAUUUAUCUUCCCCAUCUUCGGUUUCUUUGGUUCCGAUUUCCUGGUACCUCAUCUCAAGUCAGGUAAGGUUGCUUUUUAAACUCUUCUGGUUUCCUCAUUUUGGUUUUGCACAAAAUGUAAGUAUGGUACUAUAGUUUAUGGCAAUUACCUGGCCCACAAAAUAUCAGGAUGGCUAGAGAACACAUGCUUACAAAAGUAAGUAGCACUUGAACACUUGAAGGUUGAAGCCAUUCUAGACUCAUGUUUCAGCAACAUUGUAACACCAUUGUUGAGUAUUAGAGUUGAGUGAAAUGCAUGUGGGUUAGGCCAAUUGGCGAGAAUAGCGAACCCACUUUCUUGCACCUAAGUUUGAGUACCCCCUCCUUGCAUAUUGGAUUAAUUUAGAGUAGUUCCAUGAAUAAAUAAUAUGAAGCCAUGGUGAAAGGUAGGGGUUUUGACCAAAUAAACCAAUGCAAAUCGGCGAACCCACUUAACCAAACUAAUCAGUUCGAUCUUAUUUUCCAAGAUUUCAAUUUUGGUUCUUAAUCUGAAUCGAACCACUCCUACUCAGUCCAAUUUAUAGUUCACAGCCUCCAAUAUUGUCGAUUCAACUUAACCGAACCAACACCACCAUAAUCAGGACCAAGUGGAUUUGAACCCUUGAGCACUCAUAUAGAAUUCCAACACAACUCCACUAUGGUAAGUCAGUUUCUUGUGCCCUUGUGGGCUUUAGUUGGGCCUGGCCGGGCUUAUGUUGUCUUUAUGGCCCUCGUUAAGCGUGAAAUAAAGCUAAUGCAGCCUAUUGAUCGUUUGGGCCCAACCACUUCCUCAAGUGGUCUGGCCUUUAUUCUUUGGCUGCAUCCUUAAAGAUUAUUCGGACCUUCCCACAAGUAAAAGCACAGAUUUGUUUUAGAAGUUAUUCUAUUAUAAGAACGUUAAUUUUUUUUAUAUAUGAAAAAUCAAAGUGUUUCAUGAAAAAGCAUUUGGAAUCAAUUUUAAGUACCUGAAAAAACGCUUUUAUAACUCAUAAGUAUUUUAAUUUUUCUAUCAAACAAUGUCAAAAACACUUUUAAUUAUCAGAAAAUGAUUUUAACCUUUUGCAUGAGGGUUCACUAAAUCUUUCUUGGCAGGUCUUUUGUCGAAAUUUCAAAACAUAAACGUGGUGAAAUUGAGACAUUGGGAUUUGAGUGCUGAUGUUAGGUUGAUAUCAAAGACCUUUUCCGUAGACUUGAAAAAAGGCUGGGUAAGUUUUAAAAACAACAUCGAAAAGCAUUCGUACGUAACUUCAUGUUUAAGCUAGUAUUUUGCUUUUUAUCUUAUUAUGCGGUGCAUCCCCUGUGUCCUUCACACGAAAAGCAAUUUUUAUAGGUUAUUAUAUACUUGAAAAUAAUAACACAGUGAACGACAUGUGAAAAAAUUAUCUCACAUUUUAUUAUGAUAUUAAUCAAAAAUAUCAAAAAGUGUUAUUCCCGUUGCAAAAGAGUUUCUCUAGUUAGCUGUACUUUCGAGCUCCCCACAACAAAAUGGGAGAAGUUUUUGUCGAACUUCAAGGAACCAUCUUUUUAAUCAAUUCCGAGAUUUAUUAUGGAACUUUUCCAAGAAUCGAAGGCCAGACAUGGAGGAUGAUUGGCCCAACUUUAAUUCUCGAGUUGCUAGCUUGAAUAUGCAUCGUCUAUUCUCGAGUGGGCUCCACCUCUAUUAGAGAGUUGGUACACAAGUUGGUAUCUAAAGUUGGUCUCCCUAGCAUCACCCUUUCAUUAAAGGUUGCCAUAUACUUACCGGCACGGCAAUUCUGUUUUUUUUAAAUUUAAUUUGAGUUACUUGAAAACGAAGCAUUGGUGGCUCUUUUUCUCUUCAUGGUCUUACUUUCAUCGUUGAAUGCAUCGUAUCAAGACAAGUUUGAUAGAUUCAAUAAGAAAAAAAGGAAAAGGGACAAAGAAUAUAAAUAUUUCAUUACAACAGAGAAAGGACCAUGAACCAUAGACUUUUAGCAUGAAAGACUGGAUUCUGUUGUGACAAAUACUAUAAUUAACAACACAUAUGAUACAUUUGUGACUUGCUUCUGCCAAGCGCUGCCUUGUGUCCGUGACAAAUACCAACCGCAGCUAACACGAAUUCGAUGUUAUGAUUUUAUCAUUCAAAUGUGCUGCAUAUAAAUGAUGUCUAUGAAAUACAUCUAAAAUUCUCAUGAGUAUGCAUUUCAUAGAUAUCAAUCACGCGUAGCACAUUUUAGAAAGAAAUUAACACAUAUGAUAUCUAUGUGACAUAUUUAUAUUUAUUUAGCGAAUGUUGUUGAACAUGAAAUUCCGUCUCAAAAAAAAUCUUUAGGUAACAUGUUGGUGGCCGAAAUUUUUGAAUGUGCAAGUUGGUCGCUAAAUGCCAUUAUUCCUUUGUAACAAAAGUUUUCAAAACAAAAAGUUUACAUAUAUGUUUGGCGUUGAACAUAUGUUCCUUGUAAAUGAUGUCUUUUGGGAUUAAGCGUGCAUAUUUGGUGCCAAUAAAGUGUUUCUCUCGGAAAACAUCUUUGUCUGCCAUUUGCCUUCGUCUUCGUAGCUAGAAAAUGCCUCCCAAAAGUCUCGAGACAAUUUUUUUUUUUUUUGGGGUAACGAAACGACAUGAACUCUAAAAUGAUAGAAACUUUCUUUAAAAUGAAUAUUGUAGUUAAGAUGUCAAAAGAAACAUAAUGGAGAUACAAAAAACAAUAAAGAAUGGCUGAAUGAGCUGUUAUUGGUGUAGUAUAGCAUUAUUCUCGUGUCCUUAUUAUUCCCUAUUUCCAUAUUCUAUCUCCGAAAGUAUCAAAACUAAUAAUUUUCAAUUCUACAUCGCAACAUAUGUGCAUUCCCUUCUCAAGAAACGCCAACACAAAGUACAGAGAGAGAGAGAGAGAGAGAGAGAGAGAGAGAGAGAACUACUACUAAAUCACAUCAAUCCCAAAAUUCAUUCAUUCCCAGUUGAUCUAAUGGCAAUGAGAAAAGAAGCCCCAGAACUUGCAGAAAGAUCCUCCUCAAACCCUAACAAACCUCACCGCCAUACCCUCUCUUUCUACUCCCCAAAACUCUCCUUCUAUAUCUUCUCAGCUUGUGUCACCCUCUUCGUCGUCCUCCACAUCAAAACCCUCCAAACCGACCAAAAUCCCACGUCGUCAUUAUGGUUCCACAAGCACCAACGGCAACGAGUCACCACCAACACCACCUCCACAAUGGCCGAGAAGCUCCGCCAAGCGGUCACAUUUCUCCCGCUCAAAGACCUACGCUACGCGGGCCCGGCUGCUCUCCAGGGCCACACGUGGUUCAUGAGCUCCAUGUACGACAAGCAGGACGAGGAGGGCGGGGCCCAGUACCAGCAGUUCCCCUCGCCCUCCUCCCAUGGGCGGCUCCUCUGCCUCAAAGGCCGCGACAACCACGACGGCUCCUGGAACUCCUACGCCCUCGCCUUCCCAGAAGCUCUCCCCCACAACACGACGCUCAUGAAAGGCUUGACGUUCGUGUCGUACAACCACUACAACUACGACAACAUCUGGCACGGCCUGACCGCUGUCGUGCCCUUCGUCUCGUGGCACAUAAAGAAUUCGUGUGCUGUCCCCGACCGGUGGAUUUUGUACCACUGGGGGGAGAUUAGAGCAAGGAUGGGAGUCUGGUUGGGGAGCUUGAUGGAGGCUACUUUCAGUGGGGCCCCGCGUGUCGAGGUGUUUGAUGACGUGGAGGAAGGGAGGGCCGUUUGUUUUGAGAAGGCUGUGGUGAUGAGGCAUAACGAGGGUGGGAUGUCGAGGGAGAAGAGGUUGGAGGUUUUUGAUCUGAUGAGGUGCAAAGCGAGAUUGUUUUGUAAUGUGAGCUUGGAUGAACAAAAUUACAAGAGUACCCGUAGUGUAACAAAGAGAAUUGGAGUCACAUUGUUUAUGAGGACAGGGCCUAGGUCGUUCAAAAACGACACCGCUGUGAUUGGGAUCUUUGAGAGGGAGUGUGCUAAGGUGGAUGGUUGUCGGCUCAUGGUGGCUUAUUCUAAUAACCUCACUUUUUGUGACCAGGUGCGCAUUUUUAUUCAAAUCUUUAAUCACUUGACGAUGGUUUUUAAUGUUCAUCUUUAACCACACUUACGAAUUUGGUCAGUUUGUAAUCAAUAGGUCUUCAAAUCGUUCACUUUAAAAUAAAUUAAAACGACCCUUUUUGUUCGUUGAUCAUGAUCUUUUUUAAAAGUUUGAAUAUUUCUUAUAGUUAAUGAAGGAACAUCAAUUUUUAUUUUCAAUUAGAUUAUGAUACCAAAUGAGUGAUGAUUGAAUCAUUUGUACUUUCAUGUUGUACAUAAUUGACUCUUUUUUUGUUUGGGUAAGAUAUUAUAUGAGUAGUUCAUAUUUAGUGUUCAUGCGUGGGGCAAAGGAAUCUUUUAUUCUUUUAAUUGGGUAGCCGAGUAAGGACCACGUGAUUACAUUAUUAGAAGAGAUGAAAGGCAUAAUGGAGUGAUCAGUAGGAAUUUUAUAUACAAGUCGAGGUCAACAAAGAGUAUUUGCUUUUGAAAGAAUUUAUAUUGGUUUAAGGCCAUCGAAGUGGGGAGACACAGAAGAAGUUUGUGAGUGGAAAUCUUGGUAGAGGAGAGGUGUAAUUGUAGACAGUAUGACUAAUUGGUAGUAGAUAAAGAUACACUUACGUAAAAUUACAUAGAAUUAUUGAGUCUUUUACGUAAAUAGUUUACUCUGAUAUUAUAUUAAAAUGUACAUUCAACGCAAUACCAAUUGACAAUAUAUAGAGAGACUCAACUUCCAACCUAUGUUACUCUCAAUAUUUUCCAUAAAAACUAUGCCUUGUAGAUUUGAAUUAUGCUCUUUUUUGCCAGUUUUGUUCCUUUUAAAAGGAUUAUCCAAUUGUUUCUUCCUAAUAUCUGAUUGGUCAAUCCAGGUGAAGGUAAUGAGCUUGACGGACAUUUUGGUAUCUCCACAUGGUGCGCAGUUAACCAACAUGUUCUUGAUGAACAGAAACAGCAGUGUCAUGGAGUUCUUCCCAAAAGGUUGGCUAAAACUAGCCGGGGUAGGCCAAUAUGUCUUCCACUGGAUCGCCAGCUGGUCAGGCAUGAGGCACAAAGGAGCAUGGCGCGAUCCAGAUGGUGACACGUGUCAGUAUGGAGAAGAUGAUCGUCGAUGCAUGUCCAUCUACAAGCAUGGGAAAAUUGGACACAAUGAGACCUACUUUGCAGGGUGGACUAGAAAUGUUAUAGAUGAGGUGAAGACGAGGAAGAUGGAAGAAGCGAAAAUGGCUAUUCCAAAUUCUAAUGGUUGUUCCUGUAUUUAAUUAAAUUCAACUCAAUUCAGUACAAUUCAUGAUUUUUUGGUGUUGCCUAAGCCUAAUAUAGCAUACGACUUCUUUAAGGUAGCUUAGUACAUACUAGGUUUGGACACGGAUCGGUUCGGAACGAUAGAAGACUUUUUCGUUAACCAAACUAAAGACUUCGGUAGACCAUUUUCUCUUCUGUUAACCGAACCAAAGACUUUGGUAGACUUCGAAUCAGUUAACCUAAUAUUCGGUUCGGAUUGGUUCGGUACGCCGGUAGUACCGUAAUAAAAACAUACUAAUAAAAAUACAAUUUAUAAAACUUUCACAUAACAUAAGUUCUUGAACAAAUACACCAAAUUAUCCUUGUAAAAUACAAAAAUCCACUAGUCUAAUUCAUCCAAGUAUGAAAUCAAAUAAUUUAGUGACUAUAUCAUUCAAUAUAUACUCAAGAUCUACUGGGAGCCACUUGUGUUUGUUGUUUGAACAUUUGAGUGUUAUUUUUACUGAAUUCUCAACAUUUAUAUAAAUGAUUUUGACAUUUGUUUUGCGUUGGGUUCUUUAGUUUUUCAUGAUGAUCCAACCAUCUAAAGAACAUAAAAUUUGGAUCAAUCGUUGGAAAGUUACAGAUAUAAAAUGGGACAAAUGUCAAAACUGGAAAACAUAGGAAAUUCAUAAAUUCCUCUUUGACCAAAAAGUGCUACAGUACCCGGGUGAUAAAAAAGUAAUAGAAUGGUGAUAAAGUAGUGAUACAAUGGUGAUAAAGAAGUGAUACAACAGUGAUAAAGGAGUGAUAUAAAAUGCUGAUUGUAUUUAUCUUUGGUUUCUUGUUUUGUAUUUAAAUAAUAGAAUGAGUAUAAAUAUCGGAUAGGAACAGGUUUCCGUCAAGUUAGGAAUAUUAUUUCCGUUAACCAAAUCAAACAUCUCGGUACGAAUCGAAUCAUAAUAGAAUAAUUAAAAUUAAAAAAUAAUUGUUGACGCUCAAAAAUGGUUCGGCACUUUUGAGCCCAACUUAGUGAUGAUGUGUGAUGGAUGAUGGGUGAAGGUGAGGACCUUCACCAAGUGUGUGAGGAUUUGGGCAAGCGAUAAAUAUACAGAAGACAAGAUAUACGUGGUUCACCCUUAAUGAAUGGGCUACGUCCACGGAGAAGUAUAUUCUCACUAUAAUAAUGUAUGUGUUUACAUUUGUACAUGGGGUUGAACCCAAAUAUAAAGGGAAGAAGGGAGAAGCCCAUGACUAAAGAUAAAGCCCAGCCCAUGGAUCGAUCCCCUCCUAAGUGGAGAAUGGUCUUCUUUUAUAGAUGAGGGGGAGUCUACACAUCUUGUAAUAUUCCAAUGUGGGACUCUUUGCUUUGCCUAGAGUUGCUUCUAGUUGCUUGGUCAGAUAUGGUAUAAACAGAAGUCCCCUAAGUUCUCAAGUAAGGAGGUACUUCUUAGUUGAGGACUUGUAAUUUUCAAUGCACUGACUGAGCAACACCUUAGUCUUCUUCCGAGUAGUGUGGUGUGGAUGGUGCCGUUUGUUAUAGCACUUGGAGCUGUGAGUAGACUUUUCUACCGUUGCCGCUUGGUAAUUUUGGGUGGCCAUUAAAAGACUGCACUCAAAUUACCGUUCGGUAUAAUUUGAGUAAGCCACUGAAUCCAUAUAGAUCGCAUGCACCUCUCUUAGUGUGAUGGAGUAAGUGGGUGUCGUUCAGUAUCCCAUGAAUAAGCAGCAAGCAAGCAUGUUCUCUGAUUUCUGAAAUUGAUGGAGAAUUGGCAACAAGCAUGGUUACUCACUGUCCACUGUCUUGCCGUUCGGCAAGCAAAUAGGCAGGUUUGGUGGGACUUGUUGUAUGGUAGCCGUGUAAGACCUUGGCUCUUGUGAAGCUUUUGCUCAUAAUGGCUGAUGGCUAUGAAUAACAUUCUUUUUGGGCGUCAUCUGUAUAUUUGACGCAAAAUCUGAGUAGAGACGGUCAAGGGAGGUCACACAGGUGCUGCCACUCGAUAAUUUUGAGAGUUCAGCAUCCUUGGGUGCCUUGAGAAGUCCCAUGCUCAGUGAUGGAUAAAGAUCCAGUUUGUUCAGUGCCUUCAGCGAUAUGGAGCCUUGAUUAGUUGUUUGGCAUGGUGACGUACCGCGACGCAUUUAUAUUUGAAGCUGCUGAAGCUUAUUUGUUGUAGACAUGUAUUCUCCAAUGGUGAGAAGACACCAAGGUGAGAAGACAUCUUUAUAUUGAAUGUGGGUCUGCUCCUUUCGCCAUGCAACGCGACAGCUACAUUUGGGUUGAAUGGUGGCCGCUCCCACAGUCAAAGAAGCCAUGCAAAGUGGGGUGCCGAAGGCAUCACACACAUCGGAGAGGCAGGAUGCCGAAGACAUCGCUCGAGCCUAAUGAUAGCGGAGUGCCGAAGGCAUCGUUCGCGCCGAAUAAGGAUUGUGUGCCGAAGGCAUCUCUUGUGCUGAAUAAGGACGGGGUGCCAAAGGCAUCACACACGUCGAAGAGGCGGGAUGCCGAAGACAUCUCAUGCGCCGAAUGACUAAGGCUUGUAUAACAAGCUUGAGUCCCCAUACUUUUACUGUAUGAAAGGGUGCCGAACGACACAAUAUCGCAUGGCGAUUGUUGAAGAUAUGAAGCUUGCAUAUUAUGCGAAUGUUCUAUUUAAUAGACUAGUGCUUUUCUUUGAGCUCAUUGUGGAAGAUCAUCAUCAAUGGUUAUUGCCGAUGGCUAAUAAUCGUGGGUUUUUUCUUUUGGCGUAUAUGCCGAUGAUCUUUACCAAUGGCUAUUGCCGAAGGCUAAUAGGCUUGGGUUUUUACUUUUGGCGUAUAUGCCGAUGAUCUUUACCAAUAAUUAUUGCCGAUGGCUAAUAAUCUUGGAUUUUUUCUUUUGGCGUAUAUGCCGAUGAUCUUUACCAAUGGCUGCAUAAUCUUUACCAAUGGCUAUUGCCGAAGGCUAAUAGGCUUGGGUUUUUACUUUUGGCGUAUAUGCCAAUGAUCUUUACCAAUGGCUAUUGCCGAUGGCUAAUAAUCUUGGAUUUUUUGCUUUUGGCGUAUAUGCCGAUGAUCUUUACCAAUGGCUAUUGCCGAAGGCUAAUAGGCUUGGAUUUUUACUUUUGGCGUAUAUGCCGAUGAUCUUUACCAAUAAUUAUUGCCGAUGACUAAUAAUCUUGGGUUUUUUGCUUUUGAGAUGCCAAUUCAGGGAACGGCAUGUAACUUUUUUAUCGUAUUUCUCUUUUGACAGCCGCUGAUUUGAAGGUGGGUGUGUAGAGAACUAUAGGAGAUAUUGGCAUGAAUAUUCCUUGCCAUGUUUCGUAGUGCAUAUGCUGGUGCAUGUAAAGCCAUCCAAAGUUGGGCAAUAUUCUGGACCACAAAUGAGCCUGAUAAGAUCUUAAUAAAAUAAAAAUAAGAUAAAAAAGAUGAGGACUGUUCCACUUAUCUUUUUUGGAGAAGGAUGAUCGUGAUGUGCUCAUAUUGAUACCCUUUUGAAUGGCGACCGAUAAAACCAGAGGGGUAGAUAAUAGCCAUUUUGCUGUACAAUACUUCCCACUUGCUGGUUUAGAUUUUGGAGAUGAAUCCCAUAUGGUUCGGCAUGUUGACUCUGUCGUUCAACAAGGUUUGGUUGGGGCAGAUUUGGGUCUGUGCUUUGCCAUUCUGAUAGACCAUUCAUUAGAGAGCUUUUGUCCAGCAUGGUGGUGCGACAGAGCUUCGUGGUUGCUUUCAGCACAGGUGGUACCAAACGGUAAUGUCGUUCGGAACCCUUGGAUGGCUUGAAAGAUUGUGGUAUUGAAGAGAGGGAGUGCAGAACGGUAAUUGGUUUGCUAGCCCUGAACAGGGACGUUCAUCCUCUGUGGGGCACCAAUCGGAAGCUGUCGAUCUACUGGAGGUCUGGGAAUAUCAGUUGGCUCAAUUCUGUCUUACCGAAUGGUGUGAUGAUUUGUCCUGUUAGGAAGGUGGUUCCCAGGUGAGUCAUGCCCGGCAUUACCGUUCGGCAAUUUGGAAGUUCGGACGAGGAGACAACACCUUGUGGUGCCAAGAUGAAGAUUUCGGCAUGGGCCAUACCUCCUUCGGCAGCUUCUCUCAUGGUGGGGAUGCACAUGGGCAUCCGUUAGAUUGGAACAGGUUUCUGCUCCUUUAACCAUGCAACGUGACAGCCACAUUUGGUUUAGAAGGUGGCUGCUUCCUCAGUCAUGGAAGCCAUGCAGAGCAAGGUGCCGAACGGUAAAGGCUUAUGAUUUGAAUGUGUAUGGCGUUCAGCAUUUACCAUUUUCUCUUUGGAAUGAUGAAUUACGUGGUCUUCCCCUUGGAAUUGAAAUGGAGGUGUUGCCGAACGGCGCUUUUGGAUUUUAUUGAGAUGAUGGUUUCACUCUUGGUCAUGCAAGCCAUGCAAAGUGAUGACCACAUUCUGAUUGACUUUUCCUUGAAAUAUCAUCUUCUGUAAUUUGUUGCCUUAGCAUUCAUGGUUACUCCAACAUGGGAUUGCCGAACGGCAACCUAGGUGAUGCUGAUUGUAAGGGUGCCGAAGGGCACUGAAGAAAGGGAAAAUGACAGAAGCCUUUUGUGUCGAUUCCCACAGACGGCGCCAAACUGUUGACGCUCAAAAAUGGUUCGGCACUUUUGAGCCCAACUUAGUGAUGAUGUGUGAUGGAUGAUGGGUGAAAGUGAGGACCUUCACCAAGUGUGUGAGGAUUUGGGCAAGCGAUAAAUAUACAGAAGACAAGAUAUACGUGGUUCACCCUUAAUGAAUGGGCUACGUCCACGGAGAAGUAUAUUCUCACUAUAAUAAUGUAUGUGUUUACAUUUGUACAUGGGGUUGAACCCAAAUAUAAAGGGAAGAAGGGAGAAGCCCAUAACUAAAGAUAAAGCCCAGCCCAUGGAUCGAUCCCCUCCUAAGUGGAGAAUGGUCUCCUUUUAUAGAUGAGGGGGAGUCUACACAUCUUGUAAUAUUCCAAUGUGGGACUCUUUGCUUUGCCUAGAGUUGCUUCUAGUUGCUUGGUCAGAUAUGGUAUAAACAAUAAUUAUUUAAUCAAACCAAACCAAACUGUCGAUAUGAUACAGUCACUACGUGGAUAAUUCGGAUGAGAUGCCCAUCCCUAGUACAUACUAUAUUGUGUAUACAUGGACAUCGGUUUUGUUAAAAGCGAAGGAAUAACUGAAAGUACUUAUGAAGCGCUUACGUAAUGCUUUGCUUUUAAUAUUUUCAGCUUUAGACGUGAUAAACAUGGCAGAAAUUAAUGAGUGAUGAGUUACUCUACAUUUAGUACGUGUGAUUAAUCAAUUUUUAUUAUGUUUCUCUCCCUUUCAUAUUCAUGGAAAUUGUAUAAAUAGGAACACAACAUCCAAUCCAUACAACAAAUUCACAAAUAGAUAAACAAAAAAAGAAUGAAAGCAAAGUAAUUACACAUAAAUGGAUGCAAGGCUAUUUGGCUUCAUGUUCUUGUCCCUGCUCUUGCUUUUCUCAAGUCUGCGUAAGUCUCUCUCUUUCACGACAAAGUAAUUUAGCUUUUUUUAUAUAUAUAAUUUUUCUUGAGUUUUGGUUGAUGAAGGAAUAGGGCUAGAUUAUUUUCUCAAUAAAAGUUGUGGCGCAAUAUUGAACGUUAGAUCUUACUAAUGAUUAAAAAUCAAGAUUGAAGGCAUUAAUAAUGGUAAUUUUGUUCCCAACAAAAAAAGAAAGAAAGUUAAAAUUACAUUGGUUUUAAGGAGGAAUUCCUCCUCAAUCUUAAUCUUAAGGAUCCAAGCUUUUCCCUCUCUUUUAUUUGUUUGUUAGUUACUGACUAGCCCAUCUGCGAGUGUGGCAAUUUAAUUUUUUUGUUCUUAUUUCUUAUUUUUAAAUUUUUUAAAAACUAAGAUUUAUAAUAUAUUUUUUAAUGUUUCGGAGUUGAGUGGAGAGUCUCCUAGCGCAACUACCGAAAUUUUUUUUCUUUUUUCUUUUUAAAUUUACUUUAAACAAACUGUGAAUGUUCUAAUUUAUCCUGAUUUAAUGAAGUGUCUUCUGUUUCAACAUAUUCAUUAACUAAGGGCAGUUUGGGGGAUUUUGAAAGUUUUUUUAUCCGAGGGAAUUUUGAAUAUAUAUAUAUAUAUAUAUAUAUAUAGAUGGAUUAUCAUUUGCGAAGCAACACAUGUAAUUAUUGUUUUUAAUAUAUGGAAUUAAAAUUUCUUUUUUGAUAAUGCAGACAACACAACAACGGUUAUGGCAGAAAAUACAAGUACGAUUAUGGUAGAAGAUACAGCAACAAGACCUGUGGUUGAGCAAAAACUAUGUGAGACGUCAGUCCACUGGGCAAAACCUCUUUGCAGAAGUGAGGGGAUUUGUUUUGAUGAUUGCAAAAAUUGGGGUUGGGAAGGUGGCAAGUGCAAGUGGUUUGUUGUCUUGUAUUGUGAGUGCAAUAAGCAAUGUUAAUUCAUGGGAAAACAGAAAAAUAUGUGUGAUGUAGCAGUGCCUACCAUCUUGUCUAUGGUAUUGAAGUAUUUUAAUAAAUAAAUAUACAUGAAUAAACUCAUUCUCUACUAUAUGGAACGUUAUUGUCCACACACAUGUUUUCCAAUCCUUUUUUCAUCUAACAAAGUUGUUGCCCAACACUCAAAACAAGCCUUUUAUGUUAACGAGGUUGUUGUGUAAAUAAUCUCAUGGGAGAAUAUUCGUGAGAGAUUCUUUCACCUUUUGAAUUUCCUUUUUCAUCUUCUUUCUUGCUCCCUAUAAAAUAGAUUGGAGUCAACAUACUACACUGGCGGGGGGUUGGCCAAAGACCUUCGAUGCCUAAGUCAAUUAGAUGAUGUUUAGAAAGAUACGAAAAUAACCGAAAGGUUGGAGUUUUCUCUCACUGGGAGAGUUGGGUGGCCGGAGCCGUGAGGGAGAGAGGAGAGAGAGAGUGGCGUGAGAGAGGGAGGGAUUUUUUCAGGGUUUCAGAAUUACCUCAAGUGUGGUGAGAUGCCAUCUAUUUAUAGCCUCUUUACUUGGCUAGGGUUUGAAGAAUAAUCUCUAUUUAAUGAGGAUUAUUCUUACCCAAAAAUAGGUGAUAGGAUAAAUCAAAGUGAUUUGCUGGAAAUCGGAUCCUUGAUUUAGGGAGAUAUUCCUAUCUUAAAUCAUAGAUAAUUCCCUAAUUAAAUAGGAUGUAAUUAGGGUAAUUAUAUAGUUGACCUAAGGAAUAUUCUUUUUUUCACGUGUCACCCUCUUAUUGGUUAUCGAAAAUAUGUGUUCCCACAAAUGGCCCCUAGCUUCUGCAUGGUGUGCAUGUGGCAUGAAGGAGAUGUGACAUACUUAUUGGGCUUUCCUACUGCGUUUGGACUUCUUUUGAAGGUUGGGCUCCUUUUGUGAGUUGAGCUCAUAACUGGAUGAGGCUUUUGAUUACUUCUUGGAGUUGGGCUUUUAAUUGGAGUAGUUUUUUUUAUUCAUUCUUGACCAAGGAUGACCAAUCCUUAUAAAUACAAGGCCUCCUCUUCAUUACUCUUCAUCUUUUAAACUUAUAUUCCUCUACUUCCUAGCUUGUAAGAAAGAUCUAGGAGGAGAGGAGUUGAUGUGCACAACAAGGUAAGUCGAAAAAAUAUUUUUUUUGUCUUUAUUUUUUUGUGCUUCUCGGCCAGGACCAGCCGACUGGUUGUCACUGGGACGGUUGGCAACGGCUAGUGCAACAAGUGGCAAUUACAGUGGCUGUUGCUGUUUUAGGUUUUUUUUUUGUUGGCUUUUUUUUUUUCAUGUUGUAUUGAAGCCAAGACCAUUAGGCAGAGCCAAAGGAAGCGUUGCGGCUUGACGUGAGCUGAGCCGCAUCGUGAACUUGGAUGGUGUCGACGAUGGCACGGUCUAUGCUACACUUGCGGCUUAGGCAGUGCUAGCGAAGAGGUGCUGGAGGCAUGGACCGUGCUUGCUGUUUGGGCCGUGCGUUUCUCCUCCCUUUUUUUCAAUUGUAAAUUAGGGUUUUUGACUUGCGAUUUGACUUGUGAAUUUCUUCUUUUUUGCAACUAUUCAACCAUCAUGUGAUCUGACGAGGGAAGCUGAUCGUCUGGUUUACAAGUGCCUUUGUACUUGUGGGGCAAUUCUCAGGUUCAUAACAUGAGGUUAAUGGCAAACUUGCAUCGCAUCACGACCAAGGCUCAAUUUCAAAAGUGGCGUGCUAGUUUUGCUUAUGCCGUACCGAAUAAUGUGCUUGUCAGGUUGGCAGAACCUUCGACCGAUGAUGUGGUUCGCGUGGACCCGAAUGAUCCGGAUGUGAGGAUUAUCACAUUUUGCCCUUUUUACUUAUCCUUGGGUUUCAAGUUUCCCAUGUAAAAGUUCAGGAAGGUGUUUCAUGCCAUGGAGUGUGCUCCAAGUCAGUGUACUUUGAACGUCUACCGGGCGGUCAUUUGCUUUAACAACCUCAAUUGCUUUUUCAAGUUACACUUGACCUUGUAGGAGUUUUUCUACUUCUUCGAGGUGAGACGCUACGAGAAGUAUGCCCAACUUCAUGCGCGCAAGGAGAAGCUCAAAACCUAUGAUCUACCCUACAAAAAUGCCUGCCUCAGACCUGGUUCGUUUGUUGAGAAAUAUAGGGCUGCUGACUUUCUUCACAGGAAUUCAAGUCGUCUGCAUCAGCAAGGGAUGAGGAUCGAACUGGGAAGGCUGCUUCUCUGUCUGGAAAGUGCACGCCAUCUGCCAAGUUACGAGAGGUCAAGCAUGGAGCUGAUCCAACAUCGUAUACUCCCUUCGAGGCAAGAAUGGUUGCAGCUAAGAAGGCCAAGGAGUCUUCUGCUCAGGCUAAAGGUUCAAUUAGUGCACGAACUGAUGGCCUAAAGGUUGACAAGCUUAGGUCUAUUGGAAAUGUGAGCGUGUCUAAUCUUCUCAAGACAAACUUCCUAUUAAGCUCAUCUGUUUGCGCCAAAUUGGUUGAUCAUCUAUGUCAAGCUAGCAAUUUUGGCAUGUCUUCAAGCCUUUCUCCGGAGAAGCAAAAGGAUGCACUUAUCGCUUUGCUUCAAAAAAGGAUGAUUUUUGCUGCUGAAGCUAUUCGGAGCUCGUCUCAUGUUGUCCCCUCUACUGCCUAGCUCAAGCAAUUGGAGAAGAAUAAUGAUGAUUUGACCAGCAUGCUCUCGAUCUAGCAGACACGCCAUGAGACGAAGAUGUCUGUCUUGAAUAAGGAUAUGUCCCUGCUGAAGAGUUCACUUGGUUUCAAAGAUAGUGAACUUGACUCUUCUACUACUGCCCUCAAUGAGCGAAUAGAGGCCUACCCUCGUCUCGAUGUGAAUUUGCUGACAUGACCCACAGUUAUGACAAGUUGAUAGCCAAGUGCAACGCUUAUCGAGAAGCUGCCAAGGAAUCCAAGUCUGAAGCUGUUGUUGACGCUUACAAGUUGGAUUACCUGGAUUGCAAGAGUGGAGUCGCUCCUUGUCAUUCUAUUAAAGAUGAAGAUGUCGAGCUAUUUUGCCCGAAGAUGCCCUUUGCUCAAGAUGAACUGAUUAAUACUAUGGAUAUGGAGGCAGUGAAAGAGCAAGCAGCUGAGGAGAAUGAAGCCAAAGAGGGCGCAAUUGAUGAGGUAGAGGCUAAUGCUAUGGAGCAGGUAGCCACGGCUGAUGAGCAGGUGGCUACAAUUGGUGAGCAGAAGACUGUAACUAAUGAGCAGUGACUGCAACAGAUGAGCAGGUGACUGAGUCGAAUGGGACCACUGAGGACAUAGCUGAUUAGGUAGGAGCUGAGGAGGUUGCUGGCCAAGAGUCACCUACUGGAGACUUGCAGUACAUGAAGACUGUUUAUAUUUUUCUUUGUUGCUUUAUUUUUCUUUAAGUAUUAGUCUCUGUUGACCAUCCCUGUUUUGUUGAACUAGGGCCGGUUAGCUGCCUUACUAUGAAAAUUUCAGUUUACUUUAUAACUAAAAUUUGUGUGGACUGCUUUUGUGGAUAACUGUGUAAGUUGUAUCUUGGAUGGACCAGUUGGCUGCUUAGUUGGGCAACUGGGGAGUCGCCUCUAGGGUGGACCUUUUGUCCGCUUGGUUGGACAACUAUUUGAGUCGCCUCUUGUUAAAUGAAUAUUCAAGGUUUUAGAACUGCCGACACCUAAGUUAGUAUAUGGUCUUAGGGAGAUGUAAAUCAUAUUGAAAAGGUGGAGCUUCCUGUGCGUUAGUCGGCGGAUAGUCUUAAGAAGAUUUAGAUCAUGGGGAAAUGAUGGGGGGUUUUGUUCAGGUACUGAAGAACCUUUCGAAUUCAUUGUCUUUUUGGCUAAGUUAACUGGUUAACUGGUUAAUCAGUUGUCGAGUUAGUUAUCAUGUGCUCGGGGGUUGAACAUCUCCCAGAGGAUGGUAAGAUGUUUACCUACCCUUACGAAAAGAGUGCCUUCCUCUAGCAAAUGUGAAAUGUUUACCCAUCCUUACAGAAAUGGUGCCUUCCUCUGGUGAGGGUGACUAUUUCUCGAACACUUCGUUGAAUGAAAAAUUCGAACUUGUAUAAAUAUUUGUGUGAUUACAUUGCUUUAUUGAAUGGAAAUAACUGAAUGAGCAACUCGAAAAUAUCAAAAGUAGCUUUUUCUUUAAUUGAAGUGGAAAGGGCUCAAUCGCCUGCUGGGAACCAAGCUGGUAAGCGGAAGUUUCAUGCAUAGUACCUUCAGAGGUGAUAGGCAUUCUAUUGUCUCGUAACUUCUUUCCUUUCCAAUGUCUUAAGUGCAUAGCUUUCUCUGCCCCCAAGUCGGUUGACCACAUAAAGGCCUUCCCAACUAGGCUUCAUUUUUUUUGAUCCUUGCCAUUGUGCUAUGAUAAAGGAUUUUCUAAGCACAAGGUCCCCAGGUUGGAAUUGUUUAAUCUUGGCUCUCUUGUUGUAUAGUAAGACAUUAAUUACUGCUGAUAAUCUGCAACUCGAACAAUGGCUUUUUCUCCUUCCCCUUCGAGCAGGUCGAGGUUAAGCUUCAUUUGCUCACAGUUUUGGUCUAUGAUGCCUACCUCGACGCUCAUAGAUAGAACGGUGAUAUGAGGAGGAAUGAUUGCUUCAAUUUCAUAAGCCAAGGAAAAUGGGGUUUCACCGGUAGAUCUCCUUUUGGUAGUGUGAUAACCGCAUAGGACUUCGGGCAGCUCAUUGACCCACUUUUUCUCAGGGCCUUCCAAUCUUUUCUUUAGGCAUUCCAGCAUGAUCUUGUUGGAUGUUUCUGCCUGGCCAUUGCCUUGCGUGUAUCUCGGAGUUGAUAAGGGUCGUUUGAUGCCAUACUUUGCAAAGAAUGCGGUGAUCUGCUACUGUUGCGUCUACCCAAGUGCAAGUAGUCACACGUGGUAAUAAUCUUGGAAGUCCAAGUAUCGUAUCCUCAAGGAGCAGGUGGACAAAUAUCUGCACACAAAGAAAUAAUUAAAUGUAUCACAAUAAAAGCGACAAGCAAAAUGAAAAAAUAAUUUGAUUUGAUUGUUGUGGAAAUUGAGUUUAAAAAUAAAAUAACAACAAUGGAAAUGCUAAGGCAUCAAGGUUCAAUUCUUUAAGCAAAAUAUGUUUCAUGCUCUUUAAUCCAAAUUAUAACUCGAUUAAAAUUAUGAUUGAGAAACUUUAAGCGGAAGAUAAAGAAAUUAAAACCAAUUUAAUUUUUCAAUGUUAUCUUUUAUGAAUGAUUGUUCAGAGAAUGGAAUUGCUUAAUAUCUACUUUUUUAAUUUAAAAGCAUGCUAAGUCAGCUCUUAACAAUGAGAAAAAUAUAAUUGAACUCAUGAAAAGAUAAUAGCACUUAACAUCAAUUAAAAUAAAAGGAUAUGAAAAUGUUGAACAACCAAAAAUAAAAGAAUUUAGCAAUUCAUACUGUAUAUUGGAUUAAAGAAAAAUUCACAAACUUACUCAAUGAACAUUCCCUUUAGCCUUAGCUAGAGUUCUAGCAACUCAUUAGAAAGAAAAACAUAAACUAAAUUUUGAAUGAAAUGGAUAAAGAAAUCUGUCGUAGUGGUGUCCUGGCCAAAUAAGUUGAUGGGUGAUUUAUAGUAGUCAAUGAGGUGAGUGAGAAGUUAAUACUCGUGGUGGGUAAUGAAAGGUUUAAGUGAGAGAUUAAUUGGAUUAUACAUGUGUUGAUGGCAGAGAGUUAGUAGAAAAGAAAUAACGGUGAGGUAAAUGGGCGUUAAAUGGCUAUGAAUGACAUGAAAUAGGCUCUUUAGCUUCAACGGUUUUGUCUUCUCUUCUCCCUCUUUACUUCUCUUUAUAAUCACAAUAAUCCCACAAUCAAUUCUUCAAUAAAAUCCGCCAGCAAUUCUAUUCACACCUAGCUUGAACUUGGACAAAUAUAUGUCUUCAUCUUUUGGCUUUCCAACUUCCUGCAGAAGAUAAAUUCACCUAAUUAGUUCACCAAGUUAAUAUAGAAAAUUCAUAAAUCCAGUUGGUGAGAAUAAAAUGCAACACCAAGUGAAAUUAUAUUUAUUAAGCCAAAAUUAUAUCAUAAAGUCUCCAAAAUAAUAUAAAAAAGAUGUAAUUUGAGACUCUCAUCACAAUCCCCAACCAACUUAUUGCUAGUCCCUAGCAAUUCAAGCGACUAAAAGAAACUCAAAUUUAAGUAGAAAUGACAACAACAACAACAACAAACCAAAAAAAAAAAAAUUACUAAAACAGCUAAGCCACUUUCGCGGGAUACGAUUGCAUUUAGCAUAUGCAACAAGCCUUUAAACCCUUAGGUUACCCAUAAAGGACGAGUUAUAGUCUCGUGAGGGUUUCCAGGGAUGAUACCCACAAACAUCAAGUAUGAGGCUAGCACAAUUAUUCAGAAACAUGAAAUAAAAUAAAAUUUGAAAAAUAAUUUCAACAUCUGUCACCAACAAAAAGGACAGAGCACAAAGUCCAAAUUUUCAAUUCAUGAACAAUGUUAAAAGAGAGAACACUUAUUUAACAUUUCAAGUUAAUCUCACCUCGAAGUCCAAAUCAUUUAUAAUUAGCCAGUAAACUUUUCACAUGUUUCCUUUGGUGUAAAGUGAACCAACACAAUUGAGUGGCAUUAGCUAAAUUCCAAUCAUACCAACCUUUUGAUCUCAAGAGUUGUCAAGCUCCCUUGCAAGAAACAAACCAAUGUUUUUAUUUUUUUUAAUAUACUAUUUUUUCCUUUAUGUGGGCUGUGCAAUGCUUAGCUCCAUUAAGCUUUCUAAUUAACCCAUAUAGCGAGUGUUAGGCUAGUGACUCUCAAACCAAAAAGGCUUUAAGGCAUUAGGUGUAGAGACACCUCUAAGAGCUUACUAACUCGAGUUAAAAAGGCUACGAAAUUAAAGUAGUCACACAAAAUUAUUCACACCCAGAACUUCACCGUUUGACGCGAACACUCACUGCUGAUUAGGCAAGAGGCCCGGUUACUAAGUAGAAGCUUGAAUAGAAUACUAUUAUCUCAUGAACCUUUUUUUUUUUAAACCAAGAUGAGUCAAAAGCAAGGUCGUCCAAGUUUACCAAAGACAAAAGAUUAACCACAAUUGGUUUUUAACUUUAUACUCCACAAAAAGUGUUAGUGUGCUUGUGUAAAUUGUUAGAGUAUAACUCAUGAAUCAUCCACUAACUAGAAAUAAAUGAAAAAGACACAUAAGUGGGAUAAUUAUCAUAUCUUUUACAUGUUCCCAAUCUUAAAAUCAUUCAUGAAUAUCAAAUAAAUCAAUCUUGUCACAGACAGACUAUGAAAAACAAACAACACAGUGCAUUAACCUCAUAAACAAUUUUUUCCUUCACACUUUUCAGAAAUUUUUUUUUUCAAAAUAAAUGAUGAAAAUAAACAAAAUAAACAAAAAAAAUACAAAAACAAAACCAAACCAAUAAAACAAAAAUAAAACAAAAACGAAAGGAAAACUAACAUGUUGCAACAAGAAAAUAAUACAAUAAACACAUCUUCUCCACCCCCAACCAAAGACUAACAUUGUCCUCAAUGUUUAAACAUAUAAGCAUAAUAAAAAGAAGAGGGUAGCGUUACCUGAGAAUUGACAUCCAAAGUGAAAGCCUGCAACGUGUUACUGGAAAAACAAAACAAACAAAAACAACAAAAAUGUAGAAUUUUUUUAUUUUUAUUUUUUCAAGUGAACAAAAAUUUCUAAACUAAUUAUAUACAACAGAUGGACUAAGGGAAGUCCAAUCAAUCCUGGUAAACAGGUUCGUUCAAAGAAACUGUCUCAUCUUCUGGAACACAUCUCCCCAAGUAAGGUUUAAGUCGUUGGCCAUUAACCUUAAAAAUAUUUUCAUUCUUGGGAUCCUCAACCUCAACAGUCCCAUAUGGGAAAACUCUUUUAACAAUGAAAGGCCCUGUCCAUUUAGUUCUUAAUUUUCCAGGAAACAAAUGAAGUCUAGAAUUAUAUAAAAGAACAAGUUGAGAAGGCUCAAAAUUUUUCCUCAAAAUAUUUUUAUCAUGAAAAACUUUAGUACGUUCUUCGUAAAUUCGUGAGUUCUCAUAUGCAUCAUUCCUGACUUCCUCAAGUUCAUUCAAUUGGAGUUUUCUCAAGGUACUUGCAUCUCCAAGACUAAAGUUAAACAAUUUGAUAGCCCAAUAUGCUUUAUGUUCUAAUUCAACAGGUAAAUGACAAGGUUUACCAUAAACUAGCCUAUAUGGGGACAUACCAAGAGGUGAUUUAUAUGCAGUAUGGUAUGCCCACAAAGCAUCAGUUAGUCUCAAUGACCAAUCCUUCCGGGUUGGAUUCACCGUCUUUUCCAAGUUCGGCUAGGCCAUUUGUCUGUGGAUGGUAUGGAGUGGAAAUCUUAUGGGUUAUCCCAUAUUUUUUCAUCAAAGCUUCAAAUGGUCGGUUGCAAAAAUGUGAUCCUCCAUCACUGAUGAUCGCUCUAGGAGUACCAAACAUGGACAAUACAUUUUCUUUCAAAAAUUUCGAAAUAGUUUUAUGAUCAUUCUUCCGACAUGGUAUGGCCUCAAUCCAUUUUGAAACAUAAUCUACAGCAACAAGGAUAUAUAAGUAACCAAAAGAUGGAGGAAAAUGACCCAUAAAAUCAAUGCCCCAACAGUCAAAAUUUUCAAUAAUUAAAAUUGGGUUAAGAGGCAUCAUAUUAUGUCGAGUAAUUUUUCUCAACUUUUGACAACUUGGACAAGUCUUGCAAAAUUCAUACACAUCUUUGAAAAGUCUAGGCCAAUAAAAACCACAUUGAAGAAUUUUGGCUGAAGUCUUUUUGGAAGAAAAGUGACCUCCACAAGCCUCAGAAUGACAAAAAGAUAUGACACUAAAUAUUUCAUCAUCAAGAACACACCUUCAGAUUAUUUGGUCGGGACAAUAUUUGAAGAGAUACGGGUCAUCCCAAAAAAAUUUUCUCACCUCAACCAUAGAUUUCUUUUUCUCUUGCGAGGUCCAAUGAGGUGGGAUAAGACUUGUAGCAAGAAAAUUCACAAUGUUAGCAAACCACGGUAAUUUAGAAAUACCAAACAAUUGUUCAUCAGGAAAUAAAUCUUUUAUAGGCAAAUAUUCAGAAGGCUCCUCAAAAGAUAUCCUAGAAAGAUGGUCUGCAACAACAUUCUCCACUCCUUUCUUGUCCUUGAUUGUAAGAUCAAAUUCUUGGAUCCAUCUAAUCAAUCGUGAUUUGGCUUCCUUCUUUGUCAAUAAAUACUUCAAGGUCAAAUGAUCUGUAAAAACAACAAUUUGUGAGCCCAAAAUAUACGACCUAAACUUUUCCAGUGCAAAACUGCAGCAAGCAAUUAUUUUUCAGUUGUAGUGUAAUUUUUCUAUGCACUAUUCAAAGUUCUGCUUGCGUAGCAGAUAACAAUAGGCUUCUUGUCUUUUCUUUGGCCUAGCACUGCCCCAAUAGCACCAUCACUAGCAUCAAAUAUUAUUUCAAAUGGCAUGGACCAAUCUGGGGGCUGUAUUACAGGAGUUGAUGUUAGCAUUUUAAUCAAUUUCUCAAAUGCUUCUUGACAUGCAUAAUUCCAAUCAAAUUUAGCAUCUUUCUCCAUGAGAUUAUUUAAUGGCUUUGCAAUUGCACUAAAAAUUUGUAUGAAUCUCCGAUAGAAACCUGCAUGUCCUAAAAAAAGAUCUGAUAUCUUUAACAGUUUUAGGAAUAGGCAUAUUAGCAAUUAAAUCAAUUUUUGACUUAUCCACUUCAAUUCUUUUGUGAGAAACAAUGUGUCCAAGUACUAUGCCAGAUGUGACCAUGAAUUGGCAUUUCUCCCAGUUAAGCACCAAAUUUUUCUCUUUACACCUGAUAAGAACAUUCUCCAAGUUAGAUAAACAAUCAGAAAAUAAAUCACCAAACAUAGUAAUAUCAUCCAUGAAAACUUCUAAAUAUUUUUCUACCAUGUCACUAAAUAUGCUUAUCAUGCAACGUUGGAAUGUAGCUGGUGCAUUGCAAAGACCAAAAGGCAUUUUUCUAAAAGCGAAAGUUCCAAAUGGGCAAGUAAAAGUUGUUUUUUCUUGAUCUUCUAAUGAAAUCUCAAUUUGAUAAUAUCCUGAAUACCCAUCGAAAAAACAAUAAUACAUAUGCCCUGCAACUCUUUCCAAAAUUUGGUCAAGAAAUGGUGAAGGAAAAUGAUCAUUUCUUGUGACUGAGUUCAAUUUACGAUAAUCAAUACACAUUCUCCAUCCAGUAGUGGCCCUAGUUGGUACCAUUUCUCCAUUAUCAUUUUCAACUACUGUGACUCCUGAUUUUUUAGGAACAACCUGUGUAAGACUCACCCAUUUGCUAUCAGAAAUUGGAUAUAAGAUACAUGCAUCCCAAAGUUUAAGUACUUCUUUUUGCACAAUUCUUUCAUUGUUGGGUUAAGUCUACGUUGAGCCUGCCUAACUGGUUUAGCAUCUUCUUCAAGAAAAAUUUGGUGUGUGCAAACCAAAGGACUAAUACCUUUAAUAUCAGAUAUAGUCCAUCCAAUAGCAGUCCUAUGAUCUUUCAAAACUUUAAGUAACAUACCUUCAUGCAAAAGCUCUAGUUUAGAAGAUAUUACCACAAAAUAUGUCUCAUCUUCUCCCAGAAAAGCAUAUUUAAGUCCACCAGGAAGAGGCUUCAGUUCACACUCUGGGGCUUCUUCUCUUGAUGAUUUUGUCUCAUCACUCACAGUUGGCAGCUCCUCGUAUUUUGGUACCCAACCAUUAUGUUCUUGUACCUGCGCAGAAUCCAACAAAGAACAAAGAUAUUGUACUUCAAAAUCUUGUGCAAAAUUACAAUCCCCAUUUACUAAAAAAAUUUGCAAUGGAUCAGAAGAAAAAGAAGAAUUAAAGCAAUUUUGAACAAUUGUCUCGAUCAUGUAAACUUCUUUGUCGACAUCUUCAUUGUUUGUGGGUUGCUUGCAUAUGUUGAAUAUGUUGAGCUCCAAUGUCAUGCUUCCAAAUGAUAGUUGCAUAAGUCCAUUCCUGCAAUUUAUAUGAGCAUUAGAUGUAGCAAGAAAUGGUCUUCCAAGAAUAAUAGAAAUUUGAGAAUUAGAAUGCACAACUGGUUCGGUAUCCAAAACUAUAAAAUCAACUGGUUUGUCUACCUGAACCAGCACAUCUUCCACCAUACCUCUUGGGAUUUUGACUGAAUGGCUAGCCAAUUGCAAUGUUAUUGAGGUGAGUUUUAAUUCACCAAGACCCAAUUGCUUAUAAACCGAGUAAGGCAACAAAUUAACACUAGCACCCAAAUUCAAUAAAGCUUGUUCAAUAAUAAAAUUUCCAAUAAUACAAGAAAUUGUGGGACAACCUAGAUCUUUGUACUUGGGUGGAGUAUUAGUUUGAAGAAUUGCACUUACAUUUUCAGUUAAAAAUGCAGUCUUAUCAAUAUUGUGCUUUCUUUUUAUAGUGCAUAAAUCCUUUAAAAAUUUUGAAUAUGAAGGAAUUUGUUUUAUAGCAUCCAGAAGAGGUAUAUUGAUUUUCACUUGUUUAAAAACCUCCAAAAUUUCAGGAUUUUGAUUUUUCUUUACAGCCCUAAGUGCUUGUGGAAAUGGAGCAGGAAAAGGGCACUUAACAAUUUCAGAAUCAUUAUUUUCUUUUUCAUUAUUUUUGGAUUUUUAUGAAUUCCUUUUAUUUUCAACUAUUACUAAAUCAUCUUUCCCAAUUAUUUUUCCACUACAAAGAGUAGUGACAGCCUUCACAUAUUCAUGCUUAUUUUCAUUCAAAGAAGAAGAAGAAGGGGUAGUUACCUCUAACUGUGCAUGUGGAUUAGGUUGGACUUGAGAAGGAAAUUUACCCUUUUCUUGAAUUGACAGCGAAGAAGUGAGUUUGGAAAGAGUGCUCUUAAUCUCACCAAUGUCUUGUGCAUUCUUUUGAUUUGUGACAGUUUGGCUUUGUAUGAAUUGCUUCAUAACAUCUUCCAAAUUUGAUGACGAUGAUUGUCCUUCCACCUAUGGAGAAUAAUAAAAAGAAUUAGAUUUUUGUUGAGGCACAUUAUUAUUAGUAUUAUUUCUCCAACUGAAAUUUGGGUGGUUUCUCCAUCCUGGACUAUAAGUUUCAGCAAAAGUGGAUGAUUUUUUAAAUUGAUUCACAAAGUUUGCUUGAUCGUGCAACAUUUCUCUGAAAGCUGAAAGUGUUGGACACUCUUUUGUUACAUGUCCCAUGACCUCGUAAACUUCACAAAUCUCAAAAAUUUCUUGACUUGCAAUUAAAUUAACUUUUUAAGGCAAUUUUGAUUUUAGAGUUUCAACUUCCCUAGCCAUUGUUGCCAAUUGAGCUGUGAGACUAUCUUCCUCCUUAAGGUGAUAAGUACUGCCGCUAGAAGGAUUAAUAGAAGAUUUUGGCUUUUAGUUAUUAGGUUCAAAUGUGUUGGGAGUGCUCCAAAUGUGAGAUUUCUCUGCAAUUUCAUCAAGAAAAUCAAAAGCAUCUUCAGGAUCUUUAUACAUAAAAUUUUCAUUACACAUCAUCUUAAUAAAUUGUCGAUCUUUAGGUGUUAAGCCAUCAUAAAAAUGACUUACCAUCCUCCAUCUUUCAAAACCAUGGUGAGGACAUAACAUUAACAAAUCUUUAAAUCUUUUCCAAGCUUGAGGUAAAGACUCAGUAUCUUUUUGAGGAAACGUGGUCAUCUGUCUUUUCAAAGAAUUUGUCUUUUGAAUUGAGAAAAAUUUCUUGAAAAUUUUAGUUUGCAUUUCAAGCCAUGUUCCAAUUGUUCUUGGCCUUAGAGAAUAAAGCCAAGUCUUCGCUUUAUCUUUAAGUGAAAAUGGAAACAGUUGUAGCAAAACUGUAUCAAGCCUACACCCUUGUGUGGGAAAAGUUCCACAAACUCCCUCAAACCCACACACAUGUGAAUAUGGAUUUUCAUAUUUCACUCCAUGAAAAGUUGGUAAAAGUUGUAUCAUGCCCGGUUUAAAAUCAAAAGUUUAACCGUUUAACAGAAAAAUGAUGCAAUAUGGCACACUUGUACGAGCAUGAUGCAAAUAAUCAUGUAAUGUCCUAACAAGUGGAUUCUCAUCAUUAUGAACACUAUGAUUAUCUUCAUCAUUUUGGGGGCCUUCCAAAAUGCAUUAUUAUUGUUAUUAUUGUUAUUAUUAUUAUUAUUCUCAGUCAUUUGUGAUGAAAUUUGGUCAAAUUGAGGUUUCUUUGCAAAUCUACCAAACCGAUCACGAUAUCUUAUAAACAAAAUAAAGAAGCAACAAAUAAAUAAAUAAACUAAACUAAUUUUUUUUAAUUUUUGUUAAUAAAAAAAACUAAGACAAAAGCAAACAAAAAAAACACCAAAAAUAAAAAUAGAAAUGAAAAAUUUAGUUUGAUAAGCCUUACCUAAUUAGCUUUGGAAACUAAAACCGCGAACCUUAACAAUAAAUUUCUUUGUGCUACUUUUCGCUUCACCACUCCCCGGCAACGGCGCCAAAAACUUGUUGCGUCUACCCAAGUGCAAGUAGUCACACGUAGUAAUAAUCUUGGAAGUCCAAGUAUCGUAUCAUCAAGGAGCAGGUAGGCAAAUAUCUGCACACAAAGAAAUAAUUAAAUGUACCACAAUAAAAGUGACAAGAAAAAUGGGAAAGUAAUUUGAUUUGAUUAUUGUGGAAAUUGAGUUUAAAAAUGAAAUAUCAAUAAUGAAAAUGCUAAGGCAUCAAGGUUCAAUUAUUUAAGCAAAAUAUGUUUCAUGCUCUUUAAUCCAAAUUAUAACUCGAUUAAAAUUAUCAUUAAGAAACUUUAACCGGAAGAUAAAGAAAUUAAAACCAAUUUAAUUUUUCAAUGUUAUCUUUUAUUAAUGAUUGUUUAGAAAAUGGAAUUGCUUAAUAUCUACUCUUUUAAUUUGAAAGCAUGCUAAGUCAGUUCUUAACAAUGAGAAAAAUAUAAUUGAACUCAUGAAAAGAUAAUAGCACUUAACAUCAAUCAAAAUAAAAGGAUAUGAAGACAUUGAACAACCAAAAAUAAAAGAAUUUAGCAAUUUAUACCGUAUAUUGGAUUAAAGAACAAUUCACAAACUUACUCAAAGAACAUUCCCUUUAACCUUAGCUAGAGUUCUAGCAACUCAUUUCAAAGGAAAACAUAAACUAAAUUUUGAAUGAAAUGGAUAAAGAAAUAUGUCGUAGUGGUGCCCUUGCCAAAUAAGUUGAUGGGUGAUUUAUAGUAGUCAAUGAGGUGAGUGGGAAGUUAAUACAUUCGUGGGUAAUGAAGGGUUUAAGUGAGGGAUUAAUUGGAUUAAAGAUGUGUUGAUGGCGGAGAGUUAGUGGAAAAGAAAUAAUGGUGAGGUAAGUGGGUGUUAAAUGGCUAUGAAUGACAUGAAAUAGGAUCUUUAGCUUCAACGGUUUUGUCUUCUCUUCUCCCUCUUUACUUCUCUUUAUAAUCACAAUAAUCUCACAAUCAAUUCUUCAAUAAAAUCCGCCAGCAAUUCUCUUCACACCUAGCUUGAACUUGGACAAAUGUAUGUCUUCAUCUUUUGGCUUUUCAACUUCCUACAGAAGAUAAAUUCACCUAAUAAGUUCACCAAAUUAAUAUAGAAAAUUCAUAAAUCCAGUUGGUGAAAAUAAAAUGUAACAACAAGUGAAAUUAUAUUUAUUAAGCCAAAAUUAUAUCGUAUACUACCCGAUGAAUUGUGAUACGUUGUGAGUGACCAAUGACUAUAGACAGCCGAACGGGCAUAUGAUGUUUCUCCAGAUAAAUUGUUCCACUUCAGCUUCUUUAGCAGAGGAUAUAGCUUCGACCUCAAUCCAUUUUAUAAAAUACUUGUGGCCACGAUCAUCAUCUCAUUCUUGGCAGGAGCCAAUGGCAUAAGACUCACUAAGUUGAUGACCCAUUGCAUAAAUGGUCAUGGGUUGUUCUGCGGAUAGUACACUUCAGCAGAUAGACUUGGGACUAUCUUGUAGCAUUGGUAUCGAUCACAUCUUUUGACAUACUCCGUAGAGUCGUGGCGCAUGGCCGGAUUGUAAUGACGAGAGGUUGCGGCCUUGCUUUGGGUUUGAAGCCCAAUCCCGGCUAUGAAGAUGUAAAGGUGUUCCAUGGCUCCAUCCGCAAGGUCGUGUGGUGGAAUUGAUGUUUCGGCCAUAAGGGCGUGAGGUAGGUAGGUGCUCCCAAUUGUGGGGCUGUUAGGCAAAGAUGAGGUCUUGGUCAUGGGGCCGUGACGGGGAGGAUUUGUGCUCAUAGCCAGGGGGCCAUGAGGUGGAGCCGUAGUCUUAACCAUGGGGUUGUGAGACAUAUAGAUUGAGUCGUUGUGACGACCGUGCUUCUCGUACAUAUGCUUCUGGUCAUGGUUACUCGAAAGGCCUUGAAUGAAAAGUGGAUGGCAAGAAUCAGAUUUCUUAGAUUUGAGAGUAACGCGUUGAAUAUAACUCGAUACUCUCAAUGAAAGCACCAAUUUGUUUGUGCGAAUAAUCUCAUGGGAGAAUAUUCACUAGAGAUUCCUCCACCUUUUGAGCUUCCAUCUUCUUCUUCUUCUUCCUCGCUCCCUGUAAAAUAGAUUGGAGUCAACAGACCACUCCCGAGGGGUGUUGGCGAAAGGCCCUCUGAUGCCUAUGUUAGUUAAAUGAUCUUUGGGAAGAUACGAAAAUAACGAAACGGUAGGAGUUUUCUCUCACGGAGAGAGCCGGGUGGCCAGAGCCUUGGGGGACAGAGGAGAGAGAAUGGAUAAAUAAAAGAGAUUUAUUGGAAAUCAGACCCUUGAUUUAGGUAGAUAUUCCUAUCUUAAAUCAAAGAUAAUUCCCUAAUUAAAUAGGAUUUAAUUAGGGUAAUCAGUUGACCUAAGUAAUAUUCUUUUUUCCAUGUGUCACCCUCUUAUUGGUUGCCAAAAAUAUGUGUUCACACUGAGGUCUAGCCUAGUGAAAAAUAGUAUUGACUUGUAGAUCAGUGAUUCCAGAUUCGAACUCCUAUGACACUUUAAUAGUGUACGAGAAACCCCAAUUUCCCUUUUAUAGUUUAGCUUGUAUUCAAUUACCAUUGUUUUUGCAAUUUUUUCAAAAUGGACAUCAAAUUGACUAUUUUGGAUCAUUUUGUCAAAAAAGGCACCAAAAUGCCCCAAUUUUGGAUCAUUUUGUCAAAACAAGCACCAAAUCGCUUCCUAAACUAUAGCUUAUUUUUGGGCAAUAGGUAUAAUUGUUGCCAAAAAUAGUGGUAUUUUUUAAUACAAAUGAUAGUCUAAACUACAAAGGGGAUGGAGGCUUUUCUUAGACACACACACCAUAAGGGUUCAAAUUCGAGACUACUUAUAUGCAAGUCAAUGCCAUUUUCCACUAAACAAGACCCUGUUGACAGAACAAUAAUAUUAUAACUACAUAAGAUGUUCAGCCAAAAUAAUUAUAUUAUUUCGAAUUUAAAAAAAGAAUUCAAAAUUUUAAACAAAGGUUAUCUAAAAACUAGUAUGCUCAACAAGAGCUCAAGAGCAGCAUGGUUCAAGUCAAAGAUCUAAAGUCAUGUCCACAAGCCCAAUCCAUUUUAUAUUAUACAAUUAGAAAACUAUCAAUGUGAGACUAGUUUUGUAUUUGUUUAUCCCAAAUCUCCUACAUCAAAAAUAGGUCAGACAUUGUGUUAUUUUAAAAGUGUGUCACAAUUAGCAAGGCAAAUCCUAAUAGACUUGAGUAAAAUUGAUUAACUUAUGUGCUAAGAAACCUAACUUCUAACUAAACAAUUUCGCAUUGAAUAAGGAAUGGAUUCAAUAUGAAUUCUUUUCUAUGCCUCCAGAUGAAUAAGAACUUUAUUAUUUCUUUAUUAUAAAACUAGGAAUAUGAAAUAAUUUAUGGAAUUUCCAAGCUGUUAACAACGGGUUUUGGGGCUCAGGCCCAAUGACAUAGUCAAUCGACAUGAGUCGUUCUAUAAGGGGAAGUCCACCGCAUGUGAAUUGCAGCUCCAGUGCACCAAUGAGGGGGCACAAUGACCAAAUUGCAGCUCCAGCGCACCAAGUCUAGCUCGGGCAAAGGUUGGGUCCCACGAGCCCAGGCAAGCCCAUAGGUAAAUUGUACCUGAGCUGCUGCAUGGGCAAAAUGACAUAAUGCUGAUGUCAUAAUAACGCCAGCAACAACAAAAAAAUGAAAAAAAUACCAAAAAUUUCAGAAUUUUUUAUUAUUUUAUAAAUACCUAGCCAUAUUCUUUACUUCCCAAACCAAAAACUCUAUACAAAUUCAUCUCCUCAUAUCUCAUUUGAAUAGUAAUUGAUUUUAUCCUUGGCCUUUGGGAUGGAAACAAAAAAGGUAAGGGCUACCACUAUUCAUGUGAAUAGUGACAAACAUUGCUUUGCUUUUGCCUUGCCCUUACCUUGUGGGGUGGAGGUGCUCUAAUGAGGGCCUUAAAUAAGACCCUCAUUACAGAAUUCUACCAGUCGACAGAGUCUGUAAAAUGGGGUACCCACUUUCUCAGUUCUCUACAUGUACCCAAAAAAAAAACAAAAACAAAAACAAAAGUUUUUCUAUUUAAAUCUCGCACUUCUCUUUGUUCACCUUAUAUUCUAAGUUCACUCUAACUUCUAAUUCAAAUUUUUACAAUUUCUAAGAAAACCUCACUAUCUUCCUAAACUACCCCUAAAUACACACCCAACAGGAAAAAAAUAAAAAACUCAUCAACCUCACACCCCACACCCCGCUAUCUUGCUCCUUACCAAUCUAAAUUCACCUCAACCUUACAUUACUUAAAGAGAUAAAACAUUCCAAUAAAAGGCUAAACCCAAAUAUUCUAAUGAAAAUUUUAUUUGACAUGGCCCCGCUUCUCUCCUAAUGCAUAACAUCAUGUCUUUAAUAUUUUAUUGUAAAAAAGGAUUUUAUCAAUGACAUUGGGAAACAUUGUAACAUUAGAUUCAGCAAAUUGUUUUUGUAGGAAACAUUAUCUCUCCGUAUUCUCCGCCACAGUCGCAUUCCCAUAUCUACAUUACCAAAGGCACCAAAACAAACCAAUCAACUUGGCAUAGAAGAAAACAAUAAAACUCACAUACUCCCAAUCAAUCAAACUAAAACUGAAAAGAACCCAUUAAUUAAAAGUUCAAAUCAAAACCAACAUGUCUUUCUCAUGAAUAUGAAGAGUUCUGGAGUGUAUAGUAUAGAUGUGUUAGGGUUAAGUAUUAAGUUAGAUAACCUUUUUUAUUUUGUUACACAAUAAUAAAACUUAAGAGCUUAAUUAUUUAAGUAUUAGAAUAAACAAAAAAGAAUGUGGGGUUUUAAAUAGAAAAACUCAAAAAAAACAAAAUCCAUAAUAAAAUACAUAUUAAAAGACUAUGAGUAGAUCACUAAUGGGCAUUACGACAAUUAUCUAUCAUCUACAUUAUUGGACUCUCACCUCACCUCCAUCCCAAAUUGCCGAUAUCAUAUAUAUAUAUAUAUAUCUCUCUCUCUCUCUCUCUCUCUCUCUCUCUCUCUCUCGCUAUCUCCAUGGCUGCAACAGAUCCAAAGUUCAAUAUCCACUACUCUUCACAAGUUCCCCAUGAUCAGCCAGCCAAACUGAUGACCAGCAUAAAAAAGCUUGUAGAAUCACCAGGCAUCACCUUCAUCCCUCCCACUUAUACCUACACAAACAAUCCCCAUGAUGACCUGGCAGCUUUGAUAGAUACAGAGUCAACGAUCCCCACCGUUGACUUUUCUCUCCUCACAUCUGGCACUCCCGAACAGCGCUCCCAAGCCAUCCAUGACCUUGGCAAAGCCUGCCAGGACUGGGGCUUCUUCUUGGUACUAUUUUAAUUACAGAUGGGAAUUAAAUUGUUGAAUUAAAUUUUAAUUUCUUUUUUUCCACGUGUCAAUGACAUAGGUGAUCAAUCAUGGUGUGCCAGAGAGUCUGAUGAAGGCGAUCUUGGAAGGGGUACAAGGGUUUUUUGAUCUGACGGAGGAGGAGAAGCACGAGUUUGAGGGGAAGCAUGUACUGGAUCCAAUCAGGUGUGGGACCAGCUUCAAUGCCUCGGUGGAGAAGGUGAUGUUUUGGAGGGAUUUUCUCAAGGUUUUUGUAUAUCCUGAGUUCCACUUCCCCACUAAACCUGCUGGCUUCAGGUAUAAUGUUUUGUUUUUUUCAUACAAGUGAUAUUUAAAGAGGAGAAUCGAAUCUAGAAUAUUGGAAUUUAUUUUUAUUAGUUAAAUCAGAGACAAAAAUCACUUGCUUUACCUUAUAAUUGAAAGGAGUAUUUUUGCUCACCACUUUAAUUCAAGGUGUAUGCUUACAAUUCUUCUCAAUACUUAAUAGGAGUCCAUAAGUAUAAUCGUGAUUACAUAAAUCAGAGUAAAAAGUUGUUAUUGUUAGGACAAGUUUCGUAAAAUGUUUUCGUUUUUAAUUAAAGACAAAGAGAAGGUAUAGGAAAGAUACUGCAUGCUAGGCUGAACACAUGAUGUGUGAGAAGCAAUAAUCCAAAACAAAGUCGAAAAACCACUUCCAAAACCUCUGAAGGAGUGCGAUUAAGUACCACCAUUUAAAACAAAAAUUCUAGCAGCCAUCCUCGUAGGCAAAUAAGUUCGAAUUAUCCCCGGUCGAUGUACCGCAAACAUGAUUAUACACUUCUGACAUGUUUACUUACCUGAAAUAGAUAUGAGAAAAAAUGUGAAAUAUUAUAAUUCAUGACUUCCCCUACAUAUACGAACAUAUAUAAAACCAAAAAAGUAUGUUAACUUCACAUUAAAUAUUUAAAAGAAAGUACCUGUGAUGAUGAAUUUAGUGAAACGGGUUUACCUUUUGUUUGCUUUAGUGAACUUGCAUUAGAGUAUUGCAAAAGAACGCGACAAGUGACAAGAGAACUCCUGAAAGGAAUAUCAGAGAGCUUGGGAUUGGAAGCCAGCGACUUAGAGAAGUUCUUGAAUGUUGAGUCAGGCUUGCAGAUCUUCAUUGCAAACCUUUAUCCUCCAUGUCCACAGCCAGAGCUUGCCUUGGGAAUGCCACCUCAUUCUGAUCAUGGCCUCUUGACCCUCCUUAUACAAAAUGGCAUUAAUGGUCUUCAAGUGCAACACAAGGGUAAAUGGGUCAAUGUCAAUGCCAUGCCCAACUCCUUCCUUGUUAACACUGGUGAUCACCUGGAGGUAAAGUUUCUCUCACAAAUUCUUCCUUUCAUUGACUAAACAUUUGUUGCAUUUAUUGCUCCAAAUUUAGGGACUUGGAUGACAAUAUAAGGUUAAACGGGUUUUGGGACAAUCACAAUUUGCAUAUGGCGAGAUCAAGUCAUUUUGGUCAUUUUAGUAAGUAAAAUGGUACUAGCAAGUCGUUUGAGAACACUUCACAAUGUCAUCUCAUGAUCUAAAUUGUUUCGUUUUUUAAGUAACCUAAUUAACCUCCACGAUUACAGCUCACUUUUUUUCCUACAUAUUUUAGAUUUUUAGCAAUGGGAAGUACAGGAGCAAUAUUCAUCGAGCAGUGCUGACCAACAAAGCUACAAGAAUAUCCCUUGCCACUCCAACUGGUCCAUCUCUUGAAACAGUAGUUACGCCUGCACCCGAGCUCAUAAACAAUGAAAACCGAAAGCCAGCAUAUAUUGGGAUGAAGUAUAAAGAUUACUUGGAGCUUCAACAAAGCAGCAUGCUUGAUGGCAAAUCCAUCUUGGAUCGUGUACGGGUUUCGAACUCUGAAUAAAUUGGUGGCUGCUCUGUCUGGUGCUUCUACAAUUAUUGUGCUUAAUUAAUUAGUACAAUGCUCUAAUAAACCAAAGUUGUAAUAUCACCAGAACAAGUUUGUCAAAUGUAAGCAAUAUCCAAACUUGUAUGAUUAUAAACAUUUUUGAAAAUGCUCCUUAUCCCUCAAGCUUGUAUAAUGGGGUAUAAUGAUAACUAGAUCGAGAUUAAUUGUUGUAAGAGUGGAGCUCAUAAGGUGAAAUGCAAGAAUUGAUGGAAGGAGUGUUGAAUUGGUGCAGAACCUAUAGAGUGGGUACAACAACUUAAUGAAUAGUGUGGUUGGGACUUUCAUUAUUGUGGACUACAUGAGUCGAUAUGUUCGCUUAUAAGAGCAUUCACAGUUAAGAGGUGUAUUUUCAGAGGUGUAAAGUCAUUUUUACAUUUCCUUUACAUAUCUGGGGAUGUAAAUAAUUUUUUUUAUUUAUGUUAAUUUGUUUUUGUGUUUUUUUUAAUGCAUUAACAUUUUUCAAUUAAAUAUAUGUGUAUUAGGUAUAUUUUAUUUUUUCAAAUAAAUGGACCUAAAAAAAUUUAAAGGGUGAUUUUAUUUGAACCCCGUAAUUUGCUCUUUUGACCCCAUACUAAUUUUAAAUAACAUAUUUUACCCUUGUAUGUAAUUACCGUUAAGGGCAAAAAAUAUUUAAAAUAAAAAUUAAAUUUGCUCAUUACACUCCACAUACAUUCCUACAACCCUAGUUAGACUUUUUUCUCAAAUCAUCAUGUCCUUAGAACCCUAACAAGGUUUAUAAGCUUAUAUUGGUGAAAACAUACCUAAUAUUUAUUCACGAAGGGUGAGAUUGAAGUUGGUGAGGCUUCGAAUGAGGUAUGAGUUUAUUUUUUAGCGUUUUUCAAGUUUAGGGUUGCAUGGUACGUAGUAGCUGGUUACGUGCAACACACUAGUACUGAACGUAAUAGGAAAAUUUGGUGGCAUGCCACUGAAACAUUGAACUUAUUUCGAUUGUGUUUGACCAGCCGUUAACUUAAGAUGUAGUGGAGGUUCACCAUAAUGUGGAAAGGAGUUUGAUGUCGUAUGACCGAAUUUUACCUAUUAUUCAAUGGCGAGAACCGAAAUAUAUUUGUUUUUUCAGUAAUUUGUUGUCGACCACAAAUUUCAUGCAAGCUAUUUUGACAUUACUCCUAUUGAAGGAACAAAACCAAGGUGACGCCGCUAUUGAAGACAACAAUGUUGGAAUAGAACGUGUGAUGGACUAUAGUGAUCAAUUCACAACUUACGAGGUACUCAUUUGAGUAUCUUUUUUUUUUUUUUGGUUUGAAAUCCUUUUUAGUUUUAUUAACGUGGCAUUAAAAUUUCAAAUUUGAACUUCAAAUAACAUGAGUUUAAUGUGUAUAUAUUCAAAGGUAGAGAUGCAUUAAUUAGAUGAGCUCGUGUACAAGGAAAGAUGAAUAAUAUCGUAAUUGUAAUUAGAAGGUCUGAUUCUGGAGGUGAUUGCAAGAGGAGACAUCGAUUAAUACUUGCUUGUGAGAGGAACGGUAAAUAUGAGCCUUGCAAGUCUAGUGAGACAAAUGGUGUAAGGUCGGAUGCAAAUGGUAAUAUGAAAAAGUGUUCGAGGGACACUGGUACUAAGAAAUGGGGAUGCCCAUUCUUGUUAAAAUGUGUCAAUAUUGAUGAUAUGGAUGAUUGGAAGUUAGAGGUUGUGUGCAGAGUACAUAAUUUGCUCAUAGCAGAUUUUUAUAACAAUCUUAAGGCUCGUUUGGUAUACCAUAUUAGACUCUGGAUAGGAGUAAAUAGUCCAUGUCAGUUGUUUGGUGUCAACUUGUAUUAUUUAAUUACUUGACUAUUUUAAACGGUUUGGGCUUUUAAUACUCUCAUUUCCUGACUAACUAAUACAACUCACACACCCCGAUUUAGAUAAUACAUGCUUAAUUAUAAGGCUUGGAAAAAAAGAACACACGUGAAAGAUCAGACGCUAUAUAUAUAUAUAUAUCUCUCUCUCUCUCAUACUCUCUCCAAUAUGCUUCUCGUCUUCACUCUUCAUCUUCUUCUUUGCUAUCUUCUCUAGAAGUUAUUUGGUGACUGUUUGUGGAAAACACAAAUUAAUAAUUUGUGUGUGGUGGUUUUUUUGUUUGAAUUUCGAAUACCCAAGUUUGUAGCUUUGCUUAGUGUUGAAAUUUGUUCUUGCUUAUUUAUGUUGUUUCGAUUCAAAGCUCAGCCAAACAAGUUUGGUUCUCAAUUCUAUUUUAAUUUUUUUAAUUGGUGGGUCAAUAUAAUUGGCUCUUGAUUCAAAGCUCAGUCCAUAUUUUUUUAUAUAUUAAUUUUUUGGUCAAAAUCUCAUAUUCUAAAUUUUGACUUGGGGGGUUUUGCAUCAAUGAUGUGGUGGGCCAGCAAGGAAGACAAUGAAGGAAGCAGAUAUAGGGAAGAGAGAAUUGGGAAAGAGGUUUCUUGUUUUAGUAUUAGGCAGCCAUUGGAUGUAUCUAAUAGCUACAAUGAUUUGGCAAAAACAAAUGAAAAAACAAUUUUGUCAUAUAAAUCUUACCAAAAAAUUUCGUGUCAUUUGAAUUUCAAUUUCCACUUAAAUUAUCAAAGAAAUAUUUUUUUUUUUUCAAAGGCUGAUAUGAUGUUAUCCGAUGGAACACCAAACACAGUAUAACUUAGUCUGACUAUUUAUUCGAAACAAUACCAAACACCUUAUAAUACUAUAGAUAAACAGUCAGUACUCUUCGAAACAUAUUAUGAUCACCACAAUUCUAUCAGUCUCCGUUCAUAGUAGCUCUCAUUUACUGGCUGGAGAGUGAAAAAAUCUCCAAAUAAAGAGAGACACACACUUCACUUUUUAAUUGUUUUACUCAUUACCAAACAUUAUGGCCACAUUGGAUCUUCCCAUUUGAAUAACCAACGGAAGAGCUGCUACAAAAUUGGUCCGCAACUUUUAUCAUCUAAAAAUAAUAAUAAUAAAUAAAACAUUUCCUGAAAUAUGCUGCUCUUUUUUUUUGGGUUAAUUAUAGUUUAGUAUUCUGUACUUACAUUCCUAAGAUAUAUUAAUUUCUGUUUUUUUAAUUUUAACAAUCACAUACCUCAUUCUUUUAAAUUGUUACAAUGUGAUCCCAGUAGGAGCCAACUACCCACCAUUCCAUUCCAGUACAAAAAUAAGAAGAACAAAGCAAAGCAUUAAUUACUGUUCUUAGCCGUUCUCCCUCUCUCUGUUUCUUUGUUGCCUCCACCAUCCAAAGUUGCCUUCCCAGGACAGAUUCCAGCGACUGCCAUCUGCUUCCACAUGGAUCUGCAGCCACACCCAACCCACCAAAUCCACAUUUCAAAUUGACAACUACGAGAGAUCGUGAGUGCAAGGUUCAAAUUUGAGGUGGGUUUAGACGUUAUAAUCUGAAGAUUGGUGAUGGGUGUCUAGAGAAGAUUUGAAGGGAGACGGAGGGAGAGAAGGCACUGGGCGGAGAUUGAUGUGGUAAGGCUUGAAUCUGGGGCAGGUUUUGAGGCUGCGAUCUAAAAACACAGAUCGGGAGGAGAAAGAGAGAGAGGAGGUGGAGAUGGGGAGAGAGAGAGAGGAAGUGGAUGAUGGAGGGAUAUGAGGUGGAGGUGGAGAAAGAGAAAGAGGAACUGGGCUGAUUUAGAUGGUGGACGGGUGUAGGAAGUGGUGGUGAUGGUUGAGAAACAGUGAGGGUGAUGUCACCGAGAGAGAGAGAUUUAUUUAUUUAUUUUAUUUUUUGGUUUUUAAUAUUUUAUUAAUAUUUUAAUUAAUUUAAAAUUAAUAAAAAUUGAAAAAUGUGGGACCUACAUUGCCACGUAGGCAAUUAAC